This is a small nuclear RNA of Phyllostomus hastatus (greater spear-nosed bat), 104 nucleotides long. The record is from RefSeq and is a predicted model, not a curated record. Lineage: Eukaryota; Metazoa; Chordata; Mammalia; Chiroptera; Phyllostomidae.
AUAGUAUCCAAUGUGUGCUUACUAAAUUUGGAACAAUACAGGGAAGAUUAGCAGGGCCCCUGUGCAAGGAUGACAUGCUGAUUUGUGAAGCAUUCAAUAUUUUU